UACCUCAAGUCAAGUAAGAAUACCCGCUGAACUUAAGCAUAUCAAUAAGCGGAGGAAAAGAAACUAACUAGGAUUCCCUUAGUAACGGCGAGUGAACUGGGAAAAGCUCAAAUUUUAAAUCACCUCGGUGAAUUGUAAUUUGAAGAAAGUGGUUUGACUUUUCAGUUUAAUCUAAAUCCUUUGGGAUGAGGUAUCAUAGAGGGUGAGAAUCCCGUUCUUGAUUAAACCUCGGAUUGCACUAAAUUCACUUUCUAAGAGUCGAGUUGUUUGGGAUUGCAGCUCCAAAUGGGUGGUAAAUUUCACCUAAGGCUAAAUAUAUGCAAGAGACCGAUAGCGAACAAGUACCGUGAGGGAAAGAUGAAAAGUACUUUGAAAAGAGAGUUAAACAGUACGUGAAAUUGUUGAAAGGGAAACGAUUGAAGUCAGUCAUGCUAGUGAGGAAUCAACUUGGUGGUUUACUUCCUUGUGCAUUUUCUCGCUUGGCAGGUUAGCAUCAAUUUUGGUUGUCAUCAAAGAAUUGGGGGAAUGUGACUUUUCUUCGGUAAAGUGUUAUAGACCCUGAUUGAUGUGGCGACUGGGAUUGAGGUUUGCAGCGGAUGCCUCUUGUGGCUAGUCACCUAUCUUCUGACCGUCACCUCACUUUUGACAGCUUGCUGAUGAUUGCGGGAUUUGGCGACCUAGAAGUUAGAGUGAACAUAAAUUCGCUAAGGAUGCUGACGUAAUGGCUUUAAACGACCCGUCUUGAAACACGGACCAAGGAGUCUAACAUAUGUGCGAGUGUUA
Molecule: ribosomal RNA, 783 nt
Filed under: Acaulospora brasiliensis
Lineage: Eukaryota; Fungi; Glomeromycota; Glomeromycetes; Diversisporales; Acaulosporaceae
Description: eukaryotic LSU rRNA
Rfam family: Eukaryotic large subunit ribosomal RNA
Source: RNAcentral